UUGAAGUCGUCGUACCGACGAGAAAUCAGCUUUUCGAAUGUGCAUUUGUGGGCGUAUGAGAGCUUCACGGCCUUGUUGUUUGCAUGUUUGUGCGUCUUGGGUGUACUUUUUCGUAUGGUAGGCCAACGUCAGUUUCGAUUACUAUAAAAUGACCGGCGGAAUGUAGCUUCGAUCUCGGUUGAAGUGUUAUAGCCUCUGGUAGAUGUAGUGAUUGGGACUGAGGAUUGCAACGAAUAUCCUUUAGGCUAUCCGUCUGACCUCUGAUAGUUGCUCAGGUGCCGAAAGCGUGCUUACGGUCAUCUAAGUUGACGGUCAAUAGGUUAGAACGCGAUUACAUUCGUU
This 342-nucleotide ribosomal RNA is filed under the name uncultured Glomeromycotina. Its description in RNAcentral is "LSU rRNA". Lineage: Eukaryota; Fungi; Glomeromycota. The record is from RNAcentral.